This is a long non-coding RNA of Notothenia coriiceps (black rockcod), 3398 nucleotides long. RefSeq lists it as uncharacterized. The transcript has 2 exons. The record is from RefSeq and is a predicted model, not a curated record. Lineage: Eukaryota; Metazoa; Chordata; Actinopteri; Perciformes; Nototheniidae.
AUUUGUCCAUCUGCCACACUGUCAUCACCUGUACAUGUCUUACAUGUCUGCACAAAUUCAUUUGUUUUUAAUAUGAUUUGCUUCUUCCGGCACAGCUUUUGAAAUCACACCAUGCAAACAAACAGGUUCAAGGCCAAGGACAUGCAACAGAUGGUGAAGUUGGAGGAGGAGAUGGACCGCAGACCUGCCACGGUGGUGUGAGCGAAUGAGACAGAGGCACAUGUACACACACACACACACACACACACACACACACACACACACACACACAAACAUGCAGGUGCAGAAACACUGCACCGCUGAUAGCCCUCUACAACCCAGAGACAUUAACCCUGGUUACAUCACUGUCUCUCUACUUUCUGUCAUCUUUCACACACAAACAAACAAACAAACACAGUAGCCCUGCCACCAAUCAGUUUCUGCAUCCUUACCUCACCCACCAACUCUACAACACUGAGCCAUUGGUGCUCUUCACUGUUUGGCAGGGGGUAUAACCACUUAUAUGGAGAGGAAAUGUUACCUCGGAAGCAAAUAACACAGAAUCAGACGUAUCCCCUCCUCCACUGUUUGUAGAUCGAAAUGUUCACCUUCAACGCUCUCUGAAUCCUACGGGCAACACAAGCUGCAGCUAUGGGUGGACACACACUCACUCUCAACCACACACACACACACACACACACACACACACACACACACACACAGAACACAUGCACAAACACUUUCACUCACGGGAGGUGGAUAACCAUUCCCUUUUAUACUUUUUUCCUUCUUUCUUUCUUUGAAAAUGGUACCCGAUUAACUGCUCCAGAAACGGCGCGAAGAGGCGAAAAGAAUAUGUUUAAGAUUUAAUGUCAUUUCAGCACAAAUGAAAAAACGUUGUGAAAUACACUGUACGCUACACACCAGUCCUGUCCUGAGCACUUUGUAUGUGUAGGCCAUUAUAACAAUGUGGGAAAUGUAGCAGUGCACUACUGUAGGUUUUCUGUAUUUCAGUAAGAAUGUAUUUUUAAAAAAGAAAAUCACUGUAUGAAGGAGUAGCAAACGCCACGUGUCACCUAUACCUACAAUGCAAGUUGUGUAACUUCACAAAGAUGUGUUACUGACGUUUUUGUUGUCCGACAAUGUUACAGCCGACUAUAAAAAGGCUUAUUAUCUUUGCUGCGUCAAAAGACUAUAAAGGGAUCACAAUGGAGAGAUGUUCACUUUGAUUAUGGCCCAUUUCCCCACUCAAGUUUUGUUUUUAAAUGCUAUACCCUAGAGAUUGUGUACCUUUUGUGUUUUACUUGAAAAUAACAUGCUAAAGUCAUUUUUAUUUAUUUUUACAAUUACCCUCAAUCAUCACAAGUUCAUACCUGCAAAACCCAAAGUGUAAUGCUCCUAAUUUUGGGCUCAAAAUCACAUAUACUAUGCAAACUAUACAAAACAUGAUUCCCUUAAAGCUUAAGGUGUAGAAAAUACCGAAAAUCAAUUAUGACCGUGACCAAAAGAAAUAGAGGGAAAUGAUACAGUAAUAGUUACCCAAAUGAUUUAUUUGUUUUGCCUUUAAUGAUGGAUGACUAAACAACAUGAAGGUAUUACAUUGAAACAGAGGCUCCAUAGUCUAAACCAAGCUCUAUAGCACCCACAUUGUCAAGGCAAAAGGCCUAAGAGCCCUAGACAUAAACACUGCACCACUGUAUACCAGAGAGUAUCUACAGUAGCAUCUACAUCUCAGCAAAACAGCCAACUGUCACUGUCCCAGGAGGCAGGCAGUGGAACAACCGGAGAACUGUUAACUGUGGAAACUACCCAGAAAAGAGGCCCGUUGACGAAGUAGGCAAAUAAAAGAAGGAAGGUUCAAAACUGUUAUUUCUUCUAAACCAGAUCAGUAACUAACAACACCUGGCCAUGUUGCUUACAAUAUGAACAAGCAGAUUGAAAACUUACACAUGUAAAAAAAGUGGGCAAAGUUGUGGAGAGUUUUGCACUCGAAACUCUUGUGAAAUUGUGCCAAGUCCUUAAAACACAUGUAGCAAAAUGUGUCAAUGUGUGGCAGCACAUUCAUUCUGCUGUAAUACAUUGUUUUAAUUGAGUCGCCCAUCACCAUCGGACAAGAACUUUUGCAGAGCGAAGUCAAAGCCAUCUGGCCUAGUCAGUGUCCCCCUCAUUAAAGCGGUGUUUAAGUGAAGUGCUCCCUUAAUAGCUUCUUGACUGCACGUUAGCAACCUCAGCUUGUAAUCCUCAACGUUUCCCUGCUCGCCUUCAGUCAGGGGAUGUCAGACUGAGUCAUUAAAAGAGAUUUGUAACAAAGCCUGUGACAUGGCUGCCACACACUUUCCACACCAGGGACUUCAGAGCAGGCCUGUGUCCCCCACACGUUCCCUUACUGUUUAUGGCACUACAGAGAACUUGAGGAAGCACUAUUUUCUUCAGUCUUGGUGACACUGCUGGACAAAAAGCCCCCACAGGGAAUGAAAUGUGAGCUGAAGUACGAUUAUAAAGUAAUACUGUGGGUACUGUAGUAUUUGUGCACAUAUGACGAUGCCUGGCAGUCACAUUGCAGGGCAUACCACUAACAAAGAGGACCAAAAGUCUUUAUAAUGAUGACACAAAAAACAUGAGGAUAAAAGCACCUCGAGGUAUUAAGCCCUAUUUAAAAUAUAUUUCCUGCUGUAACACACAUAUAGGGUAGAUGGGAUUUUCUUGUAUAUACUGGAAUGUAUGUAGUUUAAUUUACUUUUUGACCAAUUGUGUUCUGUCAUACAAGGGCUUGGGAUAGAGUGGGUCUGUGGGAUGUUGGGAAAGACAUUUAUCAACCACUGGGUUUUCUUUGUUGUCUCCGUCUCCCAGUCUGCCCUGACUGCACCGCACAACACAGUGUAAAGCUCACACCACAUAUCUAGUGCAGAGAUAAACAAGUCAAAAAGUGCUUUUAAAUUGUAUUCCAUUGCUUUCAAAUGUGCCACUCAGUGUCUGCUAGGAUGGUAACAUUAUUUUGUGAAUGAUAAAAUGCCAAAUUAAGGGGUUAUUUAUAUGAAGAUAUAUAUAAAUAAAUGAAUAUAUAUAUAUAUUAUAUAUAUUAGAUAUAAUGUGUAGUUUAAGAAUAUUAUGUUUGUUAGAGGCUUUGUUGCACUAGUGGAAUGUUUUUGUUGUGUGAUUACAUGUAACCUUUGGCUCUCUAGUUCGUCAAAAAGCCGAUUAUUUUUGCAGAGCGAGUCACCGAUUUCAUUUCCUCAGUUUCUACUGUAUCUCCUCUUUGUUUUCUAUUUGAACUGUAGCUUGUCAACAAACCAUUCUGUGCGUGUUUUUGUAUUUAUAUUGUAUUGUUGAACUUAAAGCAAUGAAAAUACUGUUGUUAUCCAGCUCCUUUAAUACUGUUUUAUAGUAUGUGUACCAAUAAAUCCAGGUGUAAAACGGGA